AGGCUUUUGUGGAAGCUAUUUGGCGGAGUUGGACCAGUCAAUGGACCACUGUAAUGAUGGAUUGCCAACAUAUAACUCCAGCCCCUACCACGCUAUGCCAUUAGAGAAAGCAAGGAAUGACGGCGGUGCCAGCUAUGCACAUGGCUCAAGAUUAGCUGACUUCAGCGCAC
This is a long non-coding RNA of Gymnodraco acuticeps, 170 nucleotides long. RefSeq lists it as uncharacterized. NCBI's taxonomy places the organism in Eukaryota, Metazoa, Chordata, Actinopteri, Perciformes, Bathydraconidae. The transcript has 3 exons. The record is from RefSeq and is a predicted model, not a curated record.